Molecule: ribosomal RNA, 114 nt
Filed under: Chelonoidis abingdonii (Abingdon island giant tortoise)
Lineage: Eukaryota; Metazoa; Chordata; Testudines; Testudinidae
Source: RNAcentral
CCCUGUAGCCAUGGCACUUUAGGUGAUGAUCUUAUCAGAUCUCCUAAACUGAGCAGCGUUGGGCCUGUUUAUUACUAGAGUGGGAGACCUCCAAGAAGUGGGGUGUCACAAAAA